This 74-nucleotide long non-coding RNA is filed under the name Mus spretus (western wild mouse). RNAcentral's name for it is "predicted gene, 55679 (ENSMSPG00010047722.1)". It matches the Rfam family "Myocardial infarction associated transcript exon 5 conserved region 2". Rfam says of the family: MIAT (myocardial infarction associated transcript), also known as RNCR2 (retinal non-coding RNA 2) or Gomafu, is a noncoding RNA. Single nucleotide polymorphisms (SNPs) in MIAT are associated with a risk of myocardial infarction. The record is from RNAcentral. Lineage: Eukaryota; Metazoa; Chordata; Mammalia; Rodentia; Muridae.
UGAUGCUGUGCUACUAACCCGGCCCUACUAACUGAUUUCUCUUCUUACUAACCCAGCCCUGCCGAGCUCUGGGC